GUUCCCAUAGCUUAAUCAGGUUAGAGCAAUAAAUUGAAGCUUUAUUGGUAAAAGUUCAAAUCUUUUUAGGAACA
RNAcentral lists this transfer RNA (74 nucleotides) under Brettanomyces nanus. It matches the Rfam family "tRNA". Rfam says of the family: Transfer RNA (tRNA) molecules are approximately 80 nucleotides in length. Their secondary structure includes four short double-helical elements and three loops (D, anti-codon, and T loops). Lineage: Eukaryota; Fungi; Ascomycota; Pichiomycetes; Pichiales; Pichiaceae. The record is from Rfam by way of RNAcentral.